This 2892-nucleotide ribosomal RNA is filed under the name Pseudomonas aeruginosa. RNAcentral describes it as "23S ribosomal RNA". It matches the Rfam family "Bacterial large subunit ribosomal RNA". The record is from RNAcentral. Lineage: Bacteria; Pseudomonadati; Pseudomonadota; Gammaproteobacteria; Pseudomonadales; Pseudomonadaceae.
GGUCAAGUGAAGAAGCGCAUACGGUGGAUGCCUUGGCAGUCAGAGGCGAUGAAAGACGUGGUAGCCUGCGAAAAGCUUCGGGGAGUCGGCAAACAGACUUUGAUCCGGAGAUCUCUGAAUGGGGGAACCCACCUAGGAUAACCUAGGUAUCUUGUACUGAAUCCAUAGGUGCAAGAGGCGAACCAGGGGAACUGAAACAUCUAAGUACCCUGAGGAAAAGAAAUCAACCGAGAUUCCCUUAGUAGUGGCGAGCGAACGGGGAUUAGCCCUUAAGCUUCAUUGAUUUUAGCGGAACGCUCUGGAAAGUGCGGCCAUAGUGGGUGAUAGCCCCGUACGCGAAAGGAUCUUUGAAGUGAAAUCGAGUAGGACGGAGCACGAGAAACUUUGUCUGAACAUGGGGGGACCAUCCUCCAAGGCUAAAUACUACUGACUGACCGAUAGUGAACCAGUACCGUGAGGGAAAGGCGAAAAGAACCCCGGAGAGGGGAGUGAAAUAGAACCUGAAACCGUAUGCGUACAAGCAGUGGGAGCCUACUUGUUAGGUGACUGCGUACCUUUUGUAUAAUGGGUCAGCGACUUAUAUUCAGUGGCAAGCUUAACCGUAUAGGGUAGGCGUAGCGAAAGCGAGUCUUAAUAGGGCGUUUAGUCGCUGGGUAUAGACCCGAAACCGGGCGAUCUAUCCAUGAGCAGGUUGAAGGUUAGGUAACACUGACUGGAGGACCGAACCCACUCCCGUUGAAAAGGUAGGGGAUGACUUGUGGAUCGGAGUGAAAGGCUAAUCAAGCUCGGAGAUAGCUGGUUCUCCUCGAAAGCUAUUUAGGUAGCGCCUCAUGUAUCACUCUGGGGGGUAGAGCACUGUUUCGGCUAGGGGGUCAUCCCGACUUACCAAACCGAUGCAAACUCCGAAUACCCAGAAGUGCCGAGCAUGGGAGACACACGGCGGGUGCUAACGUCCGUCGUGAAAAGGGAAACAACCCAGACCGCCAGCUAAGGUCCCAAAGUUGUGGUUAAGUGGUAAACGAUGUGGGAAGGCUUAGACAGCUAGGAGGUUGGCUUAGAAGCAGCCAUCCUUUAAAGAAAGCGUAAUAGCUCACUAGUCGAGUCGGCCUGCGCGGAAGAUGUAACGGGGCUCAAACCACACACCGAAGCUGCGGGUGUCACGUAAGUGACGCGGUAGAGGAGCGUUCUGUAAGCCUGUGAAGGUGAGUUGAGAAGCUUGCUGGAGGUAUCAGAAGUGCGAAUGCUGACAUGAGUAACGACAAUGGGUGUGAAAAACACCCACGCCGAAAGACCAAGGGUUCCUGCGCAACGUUAAUCGACGCAGGGUUAGUCGGUUCCUAAGGCGAGGCUGAAAAGCGUAGUCGAUGGGAAACAGGUUAAUAUUCCUGUACUUCUGGUUACUGCGAUGGAGGGACGGAGAAGGCUAGGCCAGCUUGGCGUUGGUUGUCCAAGUUUAAGGUGGUAGGCUGAAAUCUUAGGUAAAUCCGGGGUUUCAAGGCCGAGAGCUGAUGACGAGUCGUCUUUUAGAUGACGAAGUGGUUGAUGCCAUGCUUCCAAGAAAAGCUUCUAAGCUUCAGGUAACCAGGAACCGUACCCCAAACCGACACAGGUGGUCGGGUAGAGAAUACCAAGGCGCUUGAGAGAACUCGGUGAAGGAACUAGGCAAAAUGGCACCGUAACUUCGGGAGAAGGUGCGCCGGCUAGGGUGAAGGAUUUACUCCGUAAGCUCUGGCUGGUCGAAGAUACCAGGCCGCUGCGACUGUUUAUUAAAAACACAGCACUCUGCAAACACGAAAGUGGACGUAUAGGGUGUGACGCCUGCCCGGUGCCGGAAGGUUAAUUGAUGGGGUUAGCGCAAGCGAAGCUCUUGAUCGAAGCCCCGGUAAACGGCGGCCGUAACUAUAACGGUCCUAAGGUAGCGAAAUUCCUUGUCGGGUAAGUUCCGACCUGCACGAAUGGCGUAACGAUGGCGGCGCUGUCUCCACCCGAGACUCAGUGAAAUUGAAAUCGCUGUGAAGAUGCAGUGUAUCCGCGGCUAGACGGAAAGACCCCGUGAACCUUUACUGUAGCUUUGCACUGGACUUUGAGCCUGCUUGUGUAGGAUAGGUGGGAGGCUUUGAAGCGUGGACGCCAGUUCGCGUGGAGCCAUCCUUGAAAUACCACCCUGGCAUGCUUGAGGUUCUAACUCUGGUCCGUAAUCCGGAUCGAGGACAGUGUAUGGUGGGCAGUUUGACUGGGGCGGUCUCCUCCUAAAGAGUAACGGAGGAGUACGAAGGUGCGCUCAGACCGGUCGGAAAUCGGUCGCAGAGUAUAAAGGCAAAAGCGCGCUUGACUGCGAGACAGACACGUCGAGCAGGUACGAAAGUAGGUCUUAGUGAUCCGGUGGUUCUGUAUGGAAGGGCCAUCGCUCAACGGAUAAAAGGUACUCCGGGGAUAACAGGCUGAUACCGCCCAAGAGUUCAUAUCGACGGCGGUGUUUGGCACCUCGAUGUCGGCUCAUCACAUCCUGGGGCUGAAGCCGGUCCCAAGGGUAUGGCUGUUCGCCAUUUAAAGUGGUACGCGAGCUGGGUUUAGAGAACGUCGUGAGACAGUUCGGUCCCUAUCUGCCGUGGACGUUUGAGAUUUGAGAGGGGCUGCUCCUAGUACGAGAGGACCGGAGUGGACGAACCUCUGGUGUUCCGGUUGUCACGCCAGUGGCAUUGCCGGGUAGCUAUGUUCGGAAAAGAUAACCGCUGAAAGCAUCUAAGCGGGAAACUUGCCUCAAGAUGAGAUCUCACUGGGAACUUGAUUCCCCUGAAGGGCCGUCGAAGACUACGACGUUGAUAGGCUGGGUGUGUAAGCGUUGUGAGGCGUUGAGCUAACCAGUACUAAUUGCCCGUGAGGCUUGACCAU